CGCGGCGAUCCGGGCGGUCCCGGGCCUCAGCUCAUAACGGCGUUGCGGGUUCGACUCCCGCCGUCGCGUCCA
RNAcentral lists this transfer RNA (72 nucleotides) under Microbacterium sp. ISL-103. RNAcentral describes it as "tRNA-Met". The record is from RNAcentral. Lineage: Bacteria; Bacillati; Actinomycetota; Actinomycetes; Micrococcales; Microbacteriaceae.